AAGAAUUUAGUUUAUUUAAAAUGUUAAAUUGUAAAUUUAAAGUAGUUAAUUCUUG
This 55-nucleotide transfer RNA is filed under the name Necator americanus (New World hookworm). RNAcentral's name for it is "transfer RNA-Tyr". Lineage: Eukaryota; Metazoa; Nematoda; Chromadorea; Rhabditida; Ancylostomatidae. The record is from RNAcentral.